Molecule: transfer RNA, 90 nt
Filed under: bacterium
Lineage: Bacteria
Also listed under: 1 other name
Description: tRNA-Ser
Rfam family: tRNA
About the family: Transfer RNA (tRNA) molecules are approximately 80 nucleotides in length.
Source: RNAcentral
GGACAGGUGGCCGAGUGGCUGAAGGCGCACGCUUGGAAAGCGUGUAGGCGUUUACGCGUCUCGAGGGUUCGAAUCCCUCUCUGUCCGCCA